UCGCACCUACCGAUUGAGUGUUCCGGUGAAGCCUCGGGAUUGCCGUUUACUUCUUCGGAUGCAGACAGCAAGAACUUGUCUAAACCUUAUCACUUAGAGGAAGGUG
This 106-nucleotide ribosomal RNA is filed under the name uncultured eukaryote. Its description in RNAcentral is "partial small subunit ribosomal RNA". The record is from RNAcentral.